Molecule: ribosomal RNA, 506 nt
Filed under: uncultured bacterium
Lineage: Bacteria
Description: partial 16S ribosomal RNA
Rfam family: Bacterial small subunit ribosomal RNA
Source: RNAcentral
AGUGAACGCUGGCGGUAGGCCUAACACAUGCAAGUCGAACGGCAGCACAGGAGAGCUUGCCCUCUGGGUGGCGAGUGGCGGACGGGUGAGGAAUACAUCGGAAUCUACUCUGUCGUGGGGGAUAACGUAGGGAAACUUACGCUAAUACCGCAUACGACCUACGGGUGAAAGCAGGGGAUCUUCGGACCUUGCGCGAUUGAAUGAGCCGAUGUCGGAUUAGCUAGUUGGCGGGGUAAAGGCCCACCAAGGCGACGAUCCGUAGCUGGUCUGAGAGGAUGAUCAGCCAAACUGGAACUGAGACACGGUCCAGACUCCUACGGGAGGCAGCAGUGGGGAAUAUUGGACAAUGGGCGCAAGCCUGAUCCAGCCAUACCGCGUGGGUGAAGAAGGCCUUCGGGUUGUAAAGCCCUUUUGUUGGGAAAGAAAUCCAGCUGGCUAAUACCCGGUUGGGAUGACGGUACCCAAAGAAUAAGCACCGGCUAACUUCGUGCCAGCUGCCGCGGUAA